CAGGCCUAUGCCAGUGCUAGGAGAGUGGUGAACAAGACAGACAGGGCUCCCUGCCCUCCUGGAGUUUACAUUCUAGUAGGGGAGACCAACAAAAACAACUAACUGUACUGAAGUUGCAACAAUAGCCCAGAGAAUUCUGGAUGCCCUUCUCCCAGCAUCCCUAAGGCCAACAUUUACAUGACCCUGGUCCAAUAGUGAGAACUAAGAAAUCACACCGGGAGGUUUUUACGUAAGUGCUUCAUACUGACUCUGGGAGGGUGGGGCGAACCUCAGGGAGCCCCAGAUACUUUUUACAGCCUUUUCGAAGCCACUUCACAUCCAGUGUCUUGUUUGUCUCUCACAAGGAAUUGUCACUGCCCCCUCACUUCACUCCACUGACCAGUGGAGGAAGUGAUGCCCGAGAGGUACAUUUCCCACCUAGUAGGGCAAGGCUGCUCCUGGACCCCAACUCUCCAUACUGCCCCCCUCCCCGUGCUGUCCCCACAUUAUGACAAUGCAUCUUCUAGAGGCCAUGGGGACUUACCUGGGGCCCCUGCUGCAGGGAGGGGACAUGGCAUCUCAGAGACACACAGUGGCAGAGGGUGGCAAACUCCUUCUGUCCUCUCUCGUCUCCUGGAGAGAAAAACAACAGAGAAGACCCUCCCUGGACCCCCUUGAUUCCAAAUAAAGGUCUCAGAAGAGCCGGCUGCUGGGCAGUCCCCUUUGACCGCCACAGUAAGGACCCUGCAGUUGAGAGGACAUGGGAAACGGGCAGAGGAGCUCACGGCGGGAGCCGAGGACCUCCUGUGGGCCAGGACACGUCUCUUCUGACCAUCUCCGACCCAAGAAGCGGAGCGGACUUCUCCUCCUUUUACGGAUGAUGAGGAGGAGGCUCAGAGAGGCCAGGCGCCUUUUCUGAGGUGACACAGCCCGAGGAGCUGGAUCCACGAGAGGGACUCAAUUGCCCCCUAGUGCCAAUGCUGGUCUCUGACAUCAUUAAUCAGCAGGAGGUGAAGCCUGGCGGACGGACACCACUGGGGAGGCAGGGGCAGGCGAGCACCCGGCCUCCCCCACCGUGGCCUUGAAGGCAGGCCCAUGGGGAGGAGCCUGGGCCCCAGGGCUUGACUCCCGGCUCAGCCACUUAUAAUCCUUGAGGCUCUGAAAGUCACUUCUCCUCUCCUGGCCUCAGUUUUCCCUUCUGUAAAAUGGGGACAAUGACUCCCCAUGACCUGAGGGUCUGUCAGGAGCGUUAAGUGAGGAGCUGGUGAGACGGAGCCCAACUCCUUCCCAGCACCUGUACGCGCCCGGCCCUCUGGGCAGCAUGGAGAGGUCUCCACGUGCUCGGGGCUCCUCUGGGGUCUUGCUGGGUCCCUGAGGAGGAAGUUCUUGAACCUGGCCGCUCACCAGAAUCACCUUUCAGUCAAUAAAGUAGUCGUCCCCUCCUCCAGCCCUCCUACGUCAAUUCCGGGACAAUGGCCUGGGAGCCUGUGUCUUCUCAGAUUCUGCUGCUGAUGCUGAUGGGCAGCUGGGGAACGACCAGGUCUUCGGCAGCAGACGUGGGAACCGAGAGAAAGCCCGGUGCAGGGGCCCAGUCUCUUCCGUGCUGUCCACUCUCGCUCACUGCUUUGUCGUUGUCUUUCGCAGAAUUCUCCGUCCUGGUGGCUGAAAGCUAAGAGGCUCUGACGGCCCCGGGUCCUCCACCUCUCCGCCCCGGACCCCUGAUCUCAGCCCCUCUUGCCACCCUCCUGCGUUUCUGUUGAGUUUGUUUAUGUUAUUUUUUACUCCCCCCUGUGCCCUGCGGCCCUCGAGUGACACCGUUCUUCUGGAAAAUGCUGGAGAAACAAUAAAGGCUGUACCAA
Molecule: long non-coding RNA, 1838 nt
Filed under: Equus caballus (horse)
Lineage: Eukaryota; Metazoa; Chordata; Mammalia; Perissodactyla; Equidae
Description: lncRNA (ENSECAG00000047750.1)
Source: RNAcentral